CAUUUUCUAUGUUCUGUGAUUUCAGAGGUGAAACCCCAGCUGAGGAGGCAAAUAUACUCAAGGAAAGUAAUAGUUUCCAAAUGCCUGGCAGUGCCAGGAAGGGGCCAUGUCCAUGGACCACUAUGUAAGGAUAUCUCAGUCUCUAGUCCAGCGUGGUUUAUGGUGCCAAAUAAGUGCCAGGUGAACUCACUACAUCUGACAAAAUCUCAAGGAACCAAGUUUACCAGAUAAUAUUUAUGAUUAUGUGAAAAAGACUGAGGAAAUCACUCAAGUGAUCCAUCAUACAGCACCUCCAGUUCCAAAGAAUACUGACUUACUUCAGCUGUACUGGUCUGGAGCUGCACAUUCUUUUCAGACAACUCUUGUUCCAGUAAGUUCAGGCUAGAGUGCAGUGGUGCAACCUCAGCUCACUGCAACCUCCGCUUCCCAGGUUCAAGCGAUUCUCCUGCUUCAGCCUCCCUGGUUGCUGGGAUUACAGGUGACUCUUCUCCUGUAACAGAGCCUCCUUCUUAGAAACUAUGGCCUCCCGUUUCUUUAAGUCUGCUUCCAGCUCCUCUAAUUCUUGGCGUUGGUUCAGAACUUUCUCUACUUCUUCAUCUAACCAUUUCUUUUGCUCAUCCAAUUUCUACAUUAAAAUUAAAAAAAAA
This 647-nucleotide non-coding RNA is filed under the name Pan troglodytes (chimpanzee). Lineage: Eukaryota; Metazoa; Chordata; Mammalia; Primates; Hominidae. The record is from RNAcentral.